Long non-coding RNA from Mustela erminea (ermine), 459 nucleotides. RefSeq lists it as uncharacterized. The record is from RefSeq and is a predicted model, not a curated record. The transcript has 3 exons. Lineage: Eukaryota; Metazoa; Chordata; Mammalia; Carnivora; Mustelidae.
GUCAUAGAGGGGGGAGGGGGCAGACGGGAGAACAGUGCCGUGGGCUCAAGUAGCGCCCUCCAGCAAGGACUGCUGUGUCUGGCGUGGGCCGGUCUGUCCGCAGCGGAGAGGCCGGACUGGGUGGUGAAGGCAAGAUUGCUUCUCCCUGGCUUUGGGCAACAGGGUCUUCCUGGGAGCGGGGCUCCCCUUCCCAGCCUUUAGGAAAUCUGGCUUGUCCACACAACACCCUGAGCCCUUGAGCAACUCCGGCUCCCGAACCAGAAUGCCAGAGUAUUAACUUACAAUAAGAACCACUGCGGCGGAGGGCAGAGGUUAUAAAAAAGGAAACUCUUCUUUGGGACACACUCAAAUGAUGCAAGAAGAGGACAAAGAAAGUGAAAGUCACCUGCUCUCCUGCUCAUCAGACGUGACUGUGUUGGCUAGUGUCCUUCCUGGCACAUCCGGUCACGGGCGACCUUA